Molecule: ribosomal RNA, 750 nt
Filed under: Hadronotus insularis
Lineage: Eukaryota; Metazoa; Arthropoda; Insecta; Hymenoptera; Scelionidae
Description: Gryon insulare partial large subunit ribosomal RNA
Source: RNAcentral
URAGAAACCCGAAAGAUCGAAUGAGGAGAUUCAACGUCAGUGUGAUUGGCUAUCAUGUGGUUAUGCGAUGAGUASAGUUGUCUUUAUUCACGCUGCUGCUGUGGUUGUGUCCARUUACRUCGGCGUGCACUUCUCCUCUAGUAGAACGUCGCGACCCGCUGAGUGUUGUUUUAAGGRUCAAGCUGUCGACUGUACCRUCGCUUCGGCGUUAUGUGUGCAGACACUUGAAUUCCCAAUCAACUGCUCGGCGGUAUGUAUUAAUGGUAUCGAGCCGCACUUGAAUGCGUUCAGACUUGUCACAAGCUUGAUCAAAUAACUGGAAURCGGACYUAGUGCCGUAUCUGGAAGUGAUUGGCUGUUGGUYGAUAAUGUUCUCGAACAGGCUUAAUAUGCAAUUCAGCGAUACCGGUCAGCGAYGYUAUUGCUUUGGGUACUUUCAGGACCCGUCUUGAAACACGGACCAAGGAGUCUAACAUGUACGCGAGUCAUUGGGAAUGUUAAAACCUAAAGGCGUAUUGAAAGAAAAGAUCGGUCUUGUGCCGAUUAAGGGAUGAUARGCUUMCAUUAUUUUAAUGGAGCUUCGCACUCCCGGGGCGUCUCUUAAAGUCAUUGCGACUUGAGGUGCACCUAGAGCGUACACGUUGGGACCCGAAAGAUGGUGAACUAUGCCUGGUCAGGAUGAAGUCAGGGGAAACCCUGAUGGAGGUCCGUAGCGUAUCUGACGUGCAAAUCGAUCGUCGGAACUGGGUA